Molecule: small RNA, 129 nt
Filed under: Polaribacter batillariae
Lineage: Bacteria; Pseudomonadati; Bacteroidota; Flavobacteriia; Flavobacteriales; Flavobacteriaceae
Description: Polaribacter sp. G4M1 6S RNA
Rfam family: 6S-Flavo RNA
Source: RNAcentral
ACUCAACACUAAUCUAUUAUGAAGGAUAAGUCUUAGUUGCUAAAGCAUGCCACUAUUGCCAAUGUUUUUUUGGCUCUUGGGUGGAUUCUUGAUCAGCUAGUUAGUCCUAUACAUACCAUAAUGGAGUUU